AAUGGAGAGUCCGAUGGCCGACCACAGCGAGUAGCGUCCUCCCACCCACUAGGAGAGACAGGACAAGGUGCUGAGGGAGGGCCGGCACACCCCGCCCCCCACCUCCUGCCGGAAACCCUGUCCCUGGUCUUGCACAGGGGCGUCUCGGAGGGCCCUGGCCCAACCCACCUCCAGGAAGCAAGGCAGCAGGCAGGUGCUGGCAACACAUGGGAAGACCAACAGGGCAGACUACAGAUGACUGACCACAGCCACAAGACAAACUGAAGAGCUUACCGUGGUCUUCCCUGAGAUGUCGGGCCCUGUCUCUGCAGACACCAGCAGACCCAGGACCUCAUACCUGUGCCAGGGCCCACCUCCUCAGACACGGACACACCCAGGGCCUCAUACCUGCGCCAGGGCCCACCUCCUCAGACACGGACAGACCCCAGGCCUCAUACCUGUGCCAGGGCCCACCUCCUCAGACACGGACACACCCAGAUCCUCAUACUCAUACCAGAUCCUACCUCCUCAGAUAUGGACAGACCCAGGGUCUCACACCCAUGCCCAGCCUCACCUCCCCAGACACUGGCAGACCCAAGGCCUCAUACCUGCACACAGCUUCAACUCUUUAGACAUGGUCAGACCCAGAUGCUCAUGCCUGUGCCAGAUCCUACCUCCUCAGACACUGACAGACUCAGGUCUUCAUACCUGUAUCAGAUGCUACCUCCUCAGACAUUAACAGACCCAGAUCCUCACACCUGUACCAGAUCCUACCUUCUCAGACAUUGAAAGACCCAGAUCCUUAUACCUGCACCAGAUCCUACCUCCUCAGACAUGAACAGAACCAAAUCCUCAUACUCAUGCCAGAUCCUACCUGCUCAGACAUGGACAGACCCGGAUUCUCAUACCAGGGCCAGAUCCUACCUCCUCAGACUUUGACAGACGCAGAUCCUCAUACCUGUACCAGAUUCCUACCUCCUCUGAUAUUGACAGACCCAGAUCCUCAUUCCUGUACCAGAUGGUAACUCCUCAGACAUGGACAGUCCUAGAUCCUCAUACCAGGGCCAGAUCUUACCUCCUUAGACAUGGACAGACCCAGAUCCUCAUACCAGGACCCGAUCCCACCUCCUCAGAUACUGAUGGACACAGAUCCUCAUACUUGUACCCAGCCUCACUUCCCCAGACACUAGAAGACUCAGGGCUUCAUACCUGUGCCAGAUGCUAUCUCCUCAGGCACUGGAAGCCCAAGGGCCUCAAACCUGAGUCCAAACUCACCUCCUCAAACACUGGAAGACGCAGAUCCUCAUAUCUGUGCCAGGUGCUACCUCCUCAGACAUGGAAGACCCAUAUCCUCAUACCUGUGCCAGGUGCUACCUACUCAGACACGGGAAGACCCAGAUCCUCAUACCUGUGCCAGGUGCUACCUCCUCAGACACAGGAAGACCCAGAUCCUCAUACCUGUGCCAGGUGCUACCUCCUCAG
RNAcentral lists this long non-coding RNA (1461 nucleotides) under Homo sapiens (human). RNAcentral's name for it is "non-protein coding lnc-SCGB2B2-12:4". Lineage: Eukaryota; Metazoa; Chordata; Mammalia; Primates; Hominidae. The record is from RNAcentral.